GAUGAAGAACGUAGCGAAAUGCGAUAAGUAAUGUGAAUUGCAGAAUUCAGUGAAUCAUCGAAUCUUUGAACGCACAUUGCGCCCGCCAGCAUUCUGGCGGGCAUGCCUGUUCGAGCGUCAUUUCAACCCUCGAGCCCCCCCGGGGGCCUCGGUGUUGGGGGACGGCACACCAGCCACCCCCGAAAUGCAGUGGCGACCCCGCCGCAGCCUCCCCUGCGUAGUAGCACACACCUCGCACCGGAGCGCGGAGGCGGUCACGCCGUAAAACGCCCAACUUUCUUAGAGUUGACCUCGGAUCAGGUAGGAAUACCCGCUGAACUUAAGCAUAUCAAUAAGCGGAGGA
Molecule: unclassified non-coding RNA, 343 nt
Filed under: soil metagenome
Description: partial contains 5.8S ribosomal RNA, internal transcribed spacer 2, and large subunit ribosomal RNA
Rfam family: 5.8S ribosomal RNA (bases 1-120)
Source: RNAcentral